AUCAGAGGGGAAUAACCCGGCGAAAGUCGGACUAAUACCGCAUAAAACAGGGGCACCGCAUGGUGAUAUUUGUUAAAGAAAUUCGCUGAUAGAUGGGCAUGCGUUCCAUUAGGUAGGUUGGUGAGGUAACGGCUCACCAAGCCGACGAUGGAUAGGGGAACUGAGAGGUUGGUCCCCCACACUGGUACUGAGACACGGACCAGACUCCUACGGGAGGCAGCAGUGAGGAAUAUUGGUCAAGUGGGCGAGAGCCUGAACCAGCCAAGUCGCGUAGAAGGAAGAAGGAUCUAUGGUUCGUAAACUUCUUUGCGAGGGGAAUAAAGUGCAGGACGUGUCCUGUUUUGUAUGUACCCUGAGAAUAAGGAUCGGCUAACUCCGUGCCAGCCGCGGC
This 391-nucleotide ribosomal RNA is filed under the name uncultured bacterium. RNAcentral describes it as "bacterial SSU rRNA". It matches the Rfam family "Bacterial small subunit ribosomal RNA", at positions 132 to 518 of the family's 1533-position model. The record is from RNAcentral.